Long non-coding RNA from Homo sapiens (human), 1704 nucleotides. Lineage: Eukaryota; Metazoa; Chordata; Mammalia; Primates; Hominidae. The record is from Ensembl.
GGAGGUUCAGAAGAAAUAGCACAGAGUGAGGACAGCAGAGGUAAACAUGCCUGCAGAAACCUUUCUCUUGGCAUGCAGAGCAAAUACUAUAAUCCAGGUGUCUCAGCCAAUGAGGCAUUUAAACAGAUACAGAAAAAUCAUUAAAGAGGAUUUCAGAAGGGUAUGCUCACCUGGACAGAUUGCACUCCAUCCUUCCAGUGUCUCCUGAACUGCUCUCCAGGAAUCAUUUUCAUCAGAAUCACUGGGGCAUUUAUGAUUCAAAAAUGCUUUGAAUGUGGCAGUGCCUGAAUCUACAGUUUUCCAUGUGAUUUUUAGAUAUACUAAUGUUUGAGAACCACUGCUGUCAACAGCAUAAUUCUGUAAGAUUCAAAAUACUAGUUGUAAAGAGUUAAUUUAGCUGAAAUGCAAAUUUUGAUUUGACCUGCUCCCAAUUCCAGACCUCUGAAAUCAGUAAUGACAAGAACCUUUGGGCAUUUUCAGGCUCAGUCUUCAGAGGCUUAUCCUAUAGAGAAGAGGAAUAAUUUCUGUAGCCACAUCCCAAAGUAGGGGAGAUGGGCCACUAGGUACACAGCUGCCUUUGUGAAGAAGCAGAGUAGGAAAUAUCUACCCUGCAAUGAUUGGGGCACAGGAAAGCUGGAAUCCACCUUAUUACAACAGCUGGUUAAUGUCAUACUGUGAACUCAUUGAGCACCUGCUUUGUGAGUAUUCAUUUUCUAUUUUUAAAUUUUGCAUCAACCUUGUGAGGUUUUUGGUAUGUUUAUCUCCAUUAUACAGAUGAGGCUGCUGAGGCUAAGAGAAGUCAAGUAAUUUGCCCAAGGUCAUAUUGGUAGUUAAUAGAACUAGGACAGAUUCCAGGGUUGUGGUUUGAAUCAGGGGUUGGCAAACUAUCUGGCCCACUGCCUGUUUUUGUGUGGCUUGCAAGCAAAAAAAAAGAUGUUUACAUUUUUUAAUUGUUCAAGAAAAUCAAAAGGAGAAUAAUAUUUUGUGACAAGUGUAAAUUACAUAAAAUUCAAAUUUCUAUGUCCAUGUAUUUAGUUUUAUUGGAACACAGCCAUGUCCAUCAUUUAUGUAUUGUUAAUGGCUGUUUUCAUACUACACAGCAGAGUUGAGUAGUUGUGACAGUGACCUUAUGCUCUUGAAAGCCUAAAAUAUUUGGUAAAUAGCCAUUUACAGAAAAAAGUGCCACCUCCCACUUGAACCAUUAUGCCUGCAUUUCUCAAACUUCAGCCAUUUGAAUUCUACUCCUUCAUGAUUCUUGCCACCUUUUCAUACCAUCUGGAACAUUAACUGUGUGACAUUUUUCUUUAGAUCAAUUAAUUUUCCUUAAAUAAAUUUAUUUUAUAAAGAAACAAAAAUGAAAGCGAAAACCAGUACCAAUUGCAAGAAAUAGAAGAAAACUGUAAAAACAAAUACAAUAUACCAAGAACAGUGUAUUCAUAUUAGAUUUCAGCUAAAUAGCUGGAACAGACAAUGUUGGUGUUGCUUCAUUUCCCUGCAGAUCCCCUGACCAUUUCUCUGUAAGCCAUCAGACUUCCAAUGAUGGACCUGAAACAUUUUUGGAGGGCUGCUCUCAGUCUACUGGAAUCCCCUUUGCACACAAGCACAAUAAAUUGGGGGUGCCUGAGAAUCCAAGUUCCACUGUGGAUAGCUCUAACCAACAAAUUGUGGGUGCGGGAGUAUCCACAUCCCACCUUCCUAUCCCCU